AAGUUGUAACAAGGUUUCCGUAGAUGAACCUGCGGAAGGAUCAUUACUAUUAAAUGACUAGCAUACAUUACAAGCGUUCAAAUCCUUUCAAACCCAUUCUGCGUGCAUAAUUUCCGCGUUGCUUUUGCAGAUGAAUUCUUUUAAUCUGCGAAAGGUUAUGGAUUAUCAAAUUUGUUGUUUUCACAUCUAUCUUACUACCGAAACAUACAAAACAAAAAAAACAUUUAAAAACUUUCAACAAUGGAUCCCUUGGUUCUC
This 258-nucleotide unclassified non-coding RNA is filed under the name fungal sp. RNAcentral describes it as "partial internal transcribed spacer region". The stretch from base 1 to 46 matches the Rfam family "Eukaryotic small subunit ribosomal RNA", at positions 1786 to 1831 of the family's 1831-position model. The record is from RNAcentral. Lineage: Eukaryota; Fungi.